RNAcentral lists this long non-coding RNA (499 nucleotides) under Homo sapiens (human). RNAcentral's name for it is "PPP1R14B antisense RNA 1 (PPP1R14B-AS1)". The record is from RNAcentral. Lineage: Eukaryota; Metazoa; Chordata; Mammalia; Primates; Hominidae.
GGCAGCACCGGGCAAACCCACUCCUCCACCCUGCCCCCCGGGGCCUGAGUCACCGUCUGAACAACCAGGGAGUCAUGGGGGUGGAGAAGCAGAGCCCAGAAAGCGGGCUAGCCUGCACGCACGCCAAGAUGGAGCUCCAGGCUAGCCCACAGAACAGCCCAGCCGCAGCCGUCCUACCAGACCAGCACCUUGUAACCACAGUCUAACCCAGCGGGCACCAGGCGAUUGUGAGUGCCACGGGGCUGAGGCCUGCGCCGACCUGGUCUGCUGGUGCUACCAGGCUUGAACAGUCUUCAAAUCCACUGCUAUUAGGCAAAUUACCUGGCUCCCGCUGAACUCCAGCACCUAGAACUAUGUCACACUCGUAGUAGGCCGCUGCAUUGGUUGAACAAAUGAUUUUGAAAGAAUGAAUGUCUUCCUCUGUGCCUGCAUUUCCUCAGAAGGCUGUAACAAAGAUUAAAUAGGAAAAUUCGUGGAAAGUUCAAUAAAAAAAAAAAAA